This 787-nucleotide ribosomal RNA is filed under the name uncultured bacterium. Its description in RNAcentral is "bacterial SSU rRNA". It matches the Rfam family "Bacterial small subunit ribosomal RNA", at positions 1 to 780 of the family's 1533-position model. The record is from RNAcentral.
AAUUCGAUUGAGUUUGAUCAUGGCUCAGGAUGAACGCUAGCGGCAGGCUUAAUACAUGCAAGUCGAGGGGCAGCGGGGGUAGCAAUACCUGCCGGCGACCGGCAAACGGGUGCGGAACACGUACGCAACCUUCCUUUAACUGGAGAAUAGCCCCUCGAAAGAGGGAUUAAUACUCCGUAACAUAUUGAUAAGGCAUCUUAUUAAUAUUAUAGUCUUCGGGCGGUUAAAGAUGGGCGUGCGCCUGAUUAGAUAGUUGGUGAGGUAACGGCUCACCAAGUCUGCGAUCAGUAACUGGUGUGAGAGCACGACCAGUCACACGGGCACUGAGACACGGGCCCGACUCCUACGGGAGGCAGCAGUAAGGAAUAUUGGUCAAUGGACGCAAGUCUGAACCAGCCAUGCCGCGUGGAGGAUUAAGGCCCUCUGGGUUGUAAACUCCUUUUAUCUGGGAAGAAAUGCCAUUUUUCUAAAUGGUUUGACGGUACCAGAGGAAUAAGCACCGGCUAACUCCGUGCCAGCAGCCGCGGUAAUACGGAGGGUGCAAGCGUUAUCCGGAUUCACUGGGUUUAAAGGGUGCGUAGGCGGGCAGGUAAGUCCGUGGUGAAAUCUCUGAGCUUAACUCAGAAACUGCCAUGGAUACUAUUUGUCUUGAAUACUGUGGAGGUAAGCGGAAUAUGUCAUGUAGCGGUGAAAUGCUUAGAUAUGACAUGGAACACCAAUUGCGAAGGCAGCUUACUACACAGUUAUUGACGCUGAGGCACGAAAGCGUGGGGAUCAAACAGGAUUA